GAUGAACGCUAGCGGCAGGCCUAACACAUGCAAGUCGAGGGGCAGCACAGAAACAGCAAUGUUUUGGUGGCGACCGGCGGACGGGUGCGUAACGCGUAUGCAACCUACCUUUAACAGGGGGAUAACGGAGAGAAAUUUCCACUAAUACCCCAUAACAUCGAUCAAGGCAUCUUGAUUGGUUGAAAACUCCGGUGGUUAAAGAUGGGCAUGCGUUGUAUUAGGUAGUUGGUGAGGUAAUGGCUCACCAAGCCUACGAUACAUAGGGGGACUGAGAGGUUAGCCCCCCACACUGGUACUGAGACACGGACCAGACUCCUACGGGAGGCAGCAGUGAGGAAUAUUGGUCAAUGGGGGCAACCCUGAACCAGCCAUGCCGCGUGCAGGAAGACGGCUCUAUGAGUUGUAAACUGCUUUUAAACAGGGAUGAGGCACAGUAUGUAUACUGUGUUGAAGGUACUGUAAGAAUAAGGAUCGGCUAACUCCGUGCCAGCCGCCGCGGUAA
This 502-nucleotide ribosomal RNA is filed under the name uncultured bacterium. Its description in RNAcentral is "partial 16S ribosomal RNA". It matches the Rfam family "Bacterial small subunit ribosomal RNA", at positions 28 to 523 of the family's 1533-position model. The record is from RNAcentral.